UACAGAGGGUGCAAGCGUUGUUCGGAAUUAUUGGGCUUAAAGGGCUCGUAGGUGGCCAACUAAGUCAGACGUGAAAUCCCUCGGCUUAACCGGGGAACUGCGUCUGAUACUGGAUGGCUUGAGUUUGGGAGAGGGACGCGGAAUUCCCGGUGUAGUGGUGAAAUGCGUAGAUAUCGGGAGGAACACCAGUGGCGAAGGCGGCUUUCUGGCCUGCUCUUGACGCUGAGGCGCGAAAGCUAGGGUA
Molecule: ribosomal RNA, 244 nt
Filed under: uncultured bacterium
Lineage: Bacteria
Description: partial 16S ribosomal RNA
Rfam family: Bacterial small subunit ribosomal RNA
Source: RNAcentral